RNAcentral lists this ribosomal RNA (704 nucleotides) under uncultured bacterium. Its description in RNAcentral is "bacterial SSU rRNA". It matches the Rfam family "Bacterial small subunit ribosomal RNA", at positions 27 to 719 of the family's 1533-position model. The record is from RNAcentral.
GGGCGAACGCUGGCGGCGUGCUUACACAUGCAAGUCGAGCGGAAAGGCCCCUUCGGGGGUACUCGAGCGGCGAACGGGUGAGUAACACGUGGGCAACCUGCCCCAGAGACCGGGAUAACAGUUCGAAAGGACUGCUAAUACCGGAUGAUGUGUAUCCUGCCAAGUGGGACACACCAAAGGGUAGCUUCGGCUUCCGCUCUAGGAUGGGCCCGCGCAGCAUUAGCUUGUUGGUGAGGUAACGGCUCACCAAGGCUGCGAUGCUUAGCUGGUCUGAGAGGACGAUCAGCCACACUGGGACUGAGAUACGGCCCAGACUCCUACGGGAGGCAGCAGUGGGGAAUCUUGCGCAAUGGGCGAAAGCCUGACGCAGCAACGCCGCGUGAGCGAAGAAGGCCUUCGGGUUGUAAAGCUCUGUCAGGAGGGACGAAGCCACUCGGGUGAAUAGCCCAGAGGGUGACGGUACCUCCAGAGGAAGGUCCGGCUAACUACGUGCCAGCAGCCGCGGUAAUACGUAGGGACCAAGCGUUGUCCGGAAUUAUUGGGCGUAAAGCGCGUGUAGGCGGUUUGUUAAGUCCGAUGUGAAAUGUCGGGGCUCAACCCCGGAACUGCAUUGGAAACUGGCUGACUUGAGUCCGGAAGAGGAGACUGGAAUUCCUGGUGUAGCGGUGAAAUGCGCAGAUAUCAGGAAGAACACCCGUGGCGAA